Pelodiscus sinensis (Chinese soft-shelled turtle) is the source of this 2023-nucleotide non-coding RNA. The record is from RefSeq and is a predicted model, not a curated record. Lineage: Eukaryota; Metazoa; Chordata; Testudines; Trionychidae.
GACAAGAACAAAGAGAAACUGUAGAGUGGCUCACUUUGGAUCUCUGGGUAUUUCAUCAUCAGGAGAAUGGCCCACUGCAAAGUUGUGGCAGUCGUCUCCGUUCCAGCCAUGACCAGGUUGAAACGCUCUGCUCCAGCAUCAACCACAGACAUUACUGGACCAGAGAGCCCCCACUUGGGGUUGUGGUAUCUCAGUAGCCCCAGGGUAGCCCUGGGUUAUAGAGUCCCGGCAGCCCAAAGAAGUGGAUCCCUGGCAGCGUCAGAGCAGCUGAGCCCCAGCAGUCUUGGAAUGGGCCACAGAGCCAGGAGUCUGAUGCCUGAAGCCAGGGGAUCCUGACAAUCUGCUGACACACCGGAGUCUGUCAACAGAGGGGCAGACCUUCCCUGGUCUGACAAAAUCCCUCCAGGUCCCAAGCGUGCUGGAUCAGUUCUUACAGCUUGAGAUUUGCUGCACUGGACCAUGGAGCCUGUGUGACUCAAAAUACACUGGAAGAAGUUACUUACAUGUAAGAAUGGAGAGCCAAGAAGAACCAUAACUUCAUCUAUGAGUCUUAACAAGCUCUCCAUUAGAAAAGAAGACACCUGAGGCAUAUGCGAGCUGUGGGCCUGUGACACAUUUAGUACCCUAGACCUGAAGAAGCUCCAAAGCUUGUUUCUAUCACCAUGAUAAGUGGGUUCAACGAAAGAUACUGCCUCAACUACCACCAUAACUAAUUUCGUAAGUAUGUCUGCAGAACUGGCUGCGCUGCGGGGCAGAUUCCUGUUUUGUUUAGUAAAGAAUCAUGUUUGCUAAUGAUACCCAUAGACACCCUGCGUGUAGCAUACCGCCUUGGGAGAAGGAUCCUAGUUUCAUGGGGGUGUCUUAUGUGCUCAUGCGGCUAGCCGCUAUGUGUCAUACAUUUUUAGGCGAGGUGAAUGGGAUCCCUGCAAAGAAACUUCAUUUCUCAUGCAGUGAAAAGUUCCAAACCAUUCCAUAUAUUAAGGGAUAAAGUAGGGUCUAAGCCUGUGGGGUAAAUUCUGACACCAACUCCCAGUCACAUCAUGCAGGAAGGCUUUAAAGUUUACAUCACAGUUUACACAUGAGGUCACUGUACCAGUGCUUCAAGCCAGCCAAGAGAGGCAUCGGAGAUGCAGAGAUAUGUGGCCACUACACAAAAUUCAAUGGCUAUAACCUACACAUAGAUGCCAGCCAUAGAAAGCAACCUUAUCCACAGCCUGUUAGUUGCAUUUGUGCCCUCAUGGGGGAGGAUCCCAGCCCUUCCAAAUCCUGCAAAUUGUCCAUGCGAGGUCCAUCCACUCAGGCUACAGCCCAUUUUAAUAAGCACUAUGCACAGGAUGGAACUCUGCUAUUAUUAUUGAUUUACUAUUUGUGUCAACUUAGUGUUUAGGAGCUCUAGUUAUGCAGCAGGAUAUCUGAAGCUCUGUUUAUUAAACAUGGGCAGAAACAGAUCCAAAGCAGAGCUGGAUGGGCAGGAAAGAGAGCCAGGGAAAAGUUGUGCAAAACUUUCCUCUUGGGGUAAGGACAAGCAAAGAUCCUGGAUUACCCUAGCCUGACAGACACCUUUUCAGCAUCCCGUUACAGAUUUUUUAAAAAAACCUGUUUAUCUGCUUAAGCAAUAGUUUUAAUUACAAGUUAACAGAAGUGUUCAUAGGGUUUUUAUUCCGGCUACUUGAAAAAAACUAUUCCACCUUGUUUUUCUGUCAUGCCAUCCAUUUCAAUGGGAAUUUGCCGGCUGAGGAAUGGAGUAACAACUGCAUAAGCACAUAUAGAUUUGACCCUCUCUUAUGCGGCUGUUGGACUCUUUAGUCAAUUCUGCUUAUUUCUUCCUGGGGAUUUCCUUUUUCUUGUUAGUUAUUUGCUAAUACUCUAAAAGCCCUCUGGGUAAGGGAGCUGUCAAGUUCAUAUUUAAAAUCUCACAAGCGCUAUACACUUCAUGUACCUUAUCAAGUUUACAUGAAAAAAAUCCACCUUACCCAGGGGCCCUCUUUUAGUGGUUGAUCCGAAAUGACACUGUCUCUGAGUA